AAGUUGCCAAAACCGAGUAGACACUUCAUCCACGGUCGCUCACGAGCGAGCGGUCCGCGCGAUAAGCUUAUUUGGCGCCGCCGGUCUUACUCGGAGCCUGGGGGCUUGUAGGCGAUGAACAUGACGCACUGCACCUGCUUGAUGUUGUCGAAGCCGAUGAUACGGAUGUAACAGUCGGGGUAGGCCUUCUUGCACUCCUCGAACUCAGCGUACACCUGGGUGGCCUCGGUGCAGCCGAACAUGGGCAGCUUCCACAUGGUCCAGUAGCGCCCGUCGUAGUAACAGGGAGACGUGCUGUUCUCACGAUAGACGAACCCGAUCUUGCUGAACUCGAGGCAGGGAAUCCAGUUCUUCCGGAUCAGGUAGUCGAUCUGCUUUAGGACCUCGUCCGUGGAGAGAGGUGGCAGGUAGGAGAGGGUCUCGAACUUCUUGUUGCCCUCCGCCGGCCACACCUGAGCAAUUAACAAUACCCAUGCAUCAGUUCCUGACUUCCUACUACUCAGUUGCAUUUAACUCAGAUCGAUUGUCGAGCUGUUUAUUCGGUCGUGCAUGCUCUGUAUGUACUCUGUUUCUCUCUACUUAACGAAAAACAUGCUAUUGCGCGUCUUAAAAAAAAGAUCGAUCGAUUGUUACCUGCAUGCACCUGAUCCUUCCGCCGUUGCUGACGUUGCCGAAGCCGGAGCUGCUGGAGCGGCGGCUGACGGGGAGUCUGGCGGUGGACUUGAGCCCCUGGAAUGGAGCGACGGAGGUGGCGGCGGCCAUCGCGGUGGGGGCCAUGGCUUACUAGAGACCAAGCUAGCGAAUAAAACUGAAGCCUCAGUAGCUUGAGUUGAGGCUUGUGGCAAGGGGCACAUAUAACCAAACCAGAGGGGAUGUCAGGAUAUGGCAGGAGUGGCUGCUGUUGGACAGUCCAAACGUUUGUGGCUAGCUCAUGCGGCGUCAGCUGCUCU
RNAcentral lists this long non-coding RNA (950 nucleotides) under Setaria viridis. RNAcentral describes it as "long non-coding RNA (SVIR_LNC003473)". The record is from RNAcentral. Lineage: Eukaryota; Viridiplantae; Streptophyta; Magnoliopsida; Poales; Poaceae.